GAGAGCGUAGCUCAGUUGGUAGAGCAACUGACUUUUAAUCAGUAGGUCCAGGGUUCGAAUCCCUGCGCUCUCA
RNAcentral lists this transfer RNA (73 nucleotides) under Rhizobium sp. LC145. It matches the Rfam family "tRNA". From Rfam's summary of the family: Transfer RNA (tRNA) molecules are approximately 80 nucleotides in length. Lineage: Bacteria; Pseudomonadati; Pseudomonadota; Alphaproteobacteria; Hyphomicrobiales; Rhizobiaceae. RNAcentral also lists the same sequence under 1 other name. The record is from Rfam by way of RNAcentral.